This 104-nucleotide ribosomal RNA is filed under the name uncultured bacterium. Its description in RNAcentral is "partial 16S ribosomal RNA". It matches the Rfam family "Bacterial small subunit ribosomal RNA", at positions 1369 to 1482 of the family's 1533-position model. The record is from RNAcentral.
CGUUCCCGGGCCUUGUACACACCGCCCGUCAAGCCAUGAAGUUGGGAGUACCUGAAGUCGAUCACCGCAAGGAGUCGCCUAGGGUAAAAUCAAUGACUGGGGCU